CAGCAGCCGCGGGAAUACGUAGGGUGCGAGCGUUAAUCGGAAUUACUGGGCGUAAAGCGCACGUAGGCGGAUAUUUAAGUCAGGGGUGAAAUCCCGCAGCUCAACUGCGGAACUGCCUUUGAUACUGGGUAUCUUGAGUAUGGAAGAGGUUAGUGGAAUUGCGAGUGUAGAGGUGAAAUUCGUAGAUAUUCGCAGGAACACCAGUGGCGAAGGCGGCUAACUGGUCCAUAACUGACGCUGAGGUGCGAAAGCGUGGGGAGCAAACAGGAUUAGAUACCCCAGUAGUCCCUGUCUCUUAUAC
RNAcentral lists this ribosomal RNA (301 nucleotides) under uncultured bacterium. RNAcentral describes it as "partial 16S ribosomal RNA". It matches the Rfam family "Bacterial small subunit ribosomal RNA", at positions 509 to 807 of the family's 1533-position model. The record is from RNAcentral.